AGUGAACGCUGGCGGUAGGCCUAACACAUGCAAGUCGAACGGCAGCACAGUACGGGCUUGCUCUUACCGGUGGCGAGUGGCGGACGGGUGAGGAAUACAGCGGAAUCUACUUUUUCGUGGGGGAUCACGUAGGGAAGCUUACGCUAAUACCGCAUACGCCCUACGGGUGAAAGCAGGGGAUCUUCGGACCUUGCGCGAUUGUAUGAGCCGAUGUGGGUUUAGCUAGUUGGCGGGGUAAAGGCCCACCAGGGCGAGGAUCCGUAGCUGGUGUGAGAGGAUGACAAGCCACACUGAACCUGAGACACGGCCAGGAUUCUUAGGGGAGGCAGCGUUGGGGAAUAUUGGACAAGGGGGGAAAGCUUGUUCAACCAAUCCCGGGUGGUUGAAGAAGGCCUUCGGGUUGUAAAGCCCUUUUGUGGGGAAAAAAAGGGUGCAGGUUAAACCCCCGCUGUUUGAAGGGUACCCAAAGAGUAGGCACGGCCUAAUUUGGU
This 491-nucleotide ribosomal RNA is filed under the name uncultured bacterium. RNAcentral's name for it is "partial 16S ribosomal RNA". It matches the Rfam family "Bacterial small subunit ribosomal RNA", at positions 29 to 506 of the family's 1533-position model. The record is from RNAcentral.